This 65-nucleotide transfer RNA is filed under the name Nuttallia olivacea. RNAcentral describes it as "tRNA-Arg". Lineage: Eukaryota; Metazoa; Mollusca; Bivalvia; Cardiida; Psammobiidae. The record is from RNAcentral.
AAGUGAGUAGUAUAAGAGUAUAUGUAGUUUCGGCCUACAAGGUGAGAUAUUUAUUUCCUCAUUUA